GGAUUGUGUAUGUGACAAGCAUAUCGGAGGCGUGACGUAUCUCUGAAGUCGAUAUAAAAAGGGUUCGAUUAAAUCAAUUUCACGAAUUAAGAAGGGUUGCUUAGGGAUCUGUAAGAGAGCGAUAUUUACCUCGUCAUGAUGAGAGAAAUUCUUGUUUGUUUCCUUGUUCUAAUUAUUGUUGAGGUGAUAUCAGCUUUUCCAUGGAACAUGCCCUCAUGGUACGGACAGCGUGCGUAUCCAUCUGCGUAUAAUCCUUACUACCAGCGCUACCUCGCCAACGAGUUUUACGAUGAACUUUUUGAUUAAAAGGCUCGGCAUAUUGGACAGGGUUCACCUUUGAUUUGCUGGUUCCUGUCUGCUUCGCUGGUUCCCGUCUCUGUUGGUGUAAUGAUAGAUUGUUAUUGUUAUGGGCUGGUAUUAAAUUUCUCAUUUUGAUAA
Ostrea edulis (European flat oyster) is the source of this 438-nucleotide long non-coding RNA. RefSeq lists it as uncharacterized. The transcript has 4 exons. The record is from RefSeq and is a predicted model, not a curated record. NCBI's taxonomy places the organism in Eukaryota, Metazoa, Mollusca, Bivalvia, Ostreida, Ostreidae.